CCGAAAGGUGGAAGAAGGGAGAGAGGUCGAAAACUCCGCCCCUGCAUCCGCAAAAGCGAGUCAAUACUAUGACCGUCCAUCCUUUCUCCUCCGAAUACUCUCUCGGUAACCCGCGCGCCGCCUUUCCAACCCCUUUCUCUCUUUGUGCUCGAGCCAUCGGGAUAUCGAAAUUCGUUACGUGCCGUAGCGCGAGGACGCUCGACUUGAAAGUUCCCGGCGUCACGAAGCAAACGCGUGUUUUAGGAAUUGACUCGGAUAUGGAGCGAGCGGAAUUCAAUUCUAAAACGGUUUCAGAUACCUUUAUUCUAACCUGUGGACCAUUUAAGUAGAGAUUAAACUUCGAGAUGAGGGCCGAUUCGAGAAAGCGGGUUCCGAUCGAAAAAGUAUUAAGGGGUAAGUCUCUCGCUCCCGUGCUGGGGCGUUUAACUCUCCGAUUGCUUUGACAACUUAAGCAGGCCCUUAAACCUUGCUCGAGCCUCGAUGUAAUUUAUAAGCGGCCGAGGGGGUAAUUCCGUAGGGGAUCGUCAAACUGCCAUGUGGCAAAACCCCCGAGGGAAAGUCAGGGAUUAUACGGUGAUAAAUAAAUAUGUACGUUUAUGCAACAACCACCGUGACUCGGGGUUAGCGUCAAAUUUCGAUUCGCCGGGAUUCGCUAGUGUUACCCUCCGUUAAAUAAACAGAAAUUAAAGUAGUACGGGUGCUCGGAUCUUUGACUUUUGUCCCGAAGCAAAUCAGUUUAUAUAAUAGAUUGUAUAGAUUGUAUAUGUUUUCGACCUUAUAUAUUAUAUUAUAUAUAAUAUAUGUAUAAUAUAUUAAUGUAAAUAAUGUAAAUAGAGUAAAUGUAAAUAAAAGUAUAAAUUUUUAUUUAUAGCGACCAAAUGAAAAUUGAAAUUGUAAAUUUCAACAUGAUGAUCUGUAAAUAAAUCGCAAUGGAGGAGGUUGAUGGGAGGGCGUUUCGACGAUUCUUACGCAUGUGUACUUUUAUUACAAGUGGUUAGGUAAUCAUUACAAUAUAUGUCAUGUGACUCAGUAUCUAGACUUUUACAGCAAAUAGUAUCACAACACGAAAUAUACAAGAAAAGCACAGACGUGUAUCUUUUUACAGCUGUCUGAAAGUUCGUAUCAGUUAUUCAAGUAUAUUCAAAACCUUAUCUUACAUAUUUCAGUGAACAUAAAUAAUACGUUAAAAAAACUCACGAAUAAAUUAAAUAAAAAUUUUUUAUUCCAGUGAAAAUUUUUGUCAUUAGUGUGAUUCAUAUAAAA
RNAcentral lists this unclassified non-coding RNA (1263 nucleotides) under Bombus terrestris (buff-tailed bumblebee). RNAcentral's name for it is "misc RNA ENSBTSG00005024526.1". Lineage: Eukaryota; Metazoa; Arthropoda; Insecta; Hymenoptera; Apidae. The record is from RNAcentral.